CCGUAGGUGACCUGCGGAAGGAUCAUUACCGAGUGCGGGGUCCUUUGGGCCCAACCUCCCAUCCGUGUCUAUUAUACCCUGUUGCUUCGGCGGGCCCGCCGCUUGUCGGCCGCCGGGGGGGCGCCUUUGCCCCCCGGGCCCGUGCCCGCCGGAGACCCCAACACGAACACUGUCUGAAAGCGUGCAGUCUGAGUUGAUUGAAUGCAAUCAGUUAAAACUUUCAACAAUGGAUCUCUUGGUUCCGGCAUCGAUGAAGAACGCAGCGAAAUGCGAUAACUAAUGUGAAUUGCAGAAUUCAGUGAAUCAUCGAGUCUUUGAACGCACAUUGCGCCCCCUGGUAUUCCGGGGGGCAUGCCUGUCCGAGCGUCAUUGCUGCCCUCAAGCCCGGCUUGUGUGUUGGGUCGCCGUCCCCCUCUCCGGGGGGACGGGCCCGAAAGGCAGCGGCGGCACCGCGUCCGAUCCUCGAGCGUAUGGGGCUUUGUCACAUGCUCUGUAGGAUUGGCCGGCGCCUGCCGACGUUU
RNAcentral lists this ribosomal RNA (521 nucleotides) under Aspergillus niger. Its description in RNAcentral is "eukaryotic LSU rRNA". The stretch from base 216 to 369 matches the Rfam family "5.8S ribosomal RNA". Lineage: Eukaryota; Fungi; Ascomycota; Eurotiomycetes; Eurotiales; Aspergillaceae. The record is from RNAcentral.